GUAUUUUCUUGUUUCCAAAUCAGAUGAAUUAUCAGGCAAACACUUUUUUUCAAGUCAACCAAAUCAAACUUUCUCUCAUUCAUUUCAAUAGUUGUGAUCGUUUGUUUGAGGAAAGAAUCAAGAAGAUUCUUUCCUUUGAUAUAAUAAAAUAUCCUUUGAUGAUCCCUCCGCAGGUUCACCUACGGAGA
Molecule: unclassified non-coding RNA, 188 nt
Filed under: uncultured fungus
Lineage: Eukaryota; Fungi
Description: sequence contains ITS1
Source: RNAcentral